Molecule: long non-coding RNA, 909 nt
Filed under: Phoenix dactylifera (date palm)
Lineage: Eukaryota; Viridiplantae; Streptophyta; Magnoliopsida; Arecales; Arecaceae
Description: long non-coding RNA (PDAC_LNC017128)
Source: RNAcentral
GACUAACUCUUGAUAGGUACAUCCUUCAAGCUUGGAAAAUUCUAUUUCUCCUUUAUCUUGAAGCAUUGAUGCUCGUCUCAAGAGGCUGUUAAAACACCAUCUCCUUGCACAUGAAUUUAGUGUUUGAUGACUUCUCUUCCCUGCUCAAGCAAAACAAAAGAAAAGAUCCUCAGGCAUUUUUUAGGAGUUUAUUAAAACAAUUUUGCAUUACGUCGACAUAACAAACAAAGUAACUGGAUGAUAGGAUGUUAUUGGAUUCUUUGUUUCAGAAACUGAGGUUCUGGUGCCUGGUGAGGGUGAGAGGUAUGCUUGGCUGGAAGAGAGGGAGAAGCCAGAUGACUUCGUUGUAUUUGGGGCAAAAUAUAGCGGCCCAAGAAUCAUGGAGCGCUAAUUUAUAUGAUGAUUUUGGCAGCUAAGAAAAAUAAGGUUCUCUGCAGUUUGAGUGUAUAUACACAGACUUGAAAAGAAAGGGAUGAAAGAAUAAAGUUCCUGGAGGGGUUGUGCACGCUCUUCGACAGAUCCUUUGUUUCCAAGGUAGACCUUAGUGGAAGGAUUGCUGUGGCACCGAAAAGCUUGUAUCUUAAGUUUAUCUCAGGUAUCAUCGCUUCAUAGGGAAUAAUUCAAGUUCUCGUCAUCUUAUUUUGACAAACGUGUUCUCUGUUUAGCAAAAUCAUGAAACAUGUAUUCCAGGCAUUAAUCAUAAUUUAAUUCAAGGGUUUCUUUCUCUUUUAUGUGGUGCUUUAUUCUUGUUCUGAAUUCUUAUCCACCCACAGCAAUAUGGGGUCCAUUAAGAUGAGACUGACAUCCUAGGAUUCUAGAGGAUUUUAUCAUUUCAGCAUCUACUUGCCUUUGUAUGUAUGUUCUGUAACUUUAUGUCCUCUGAACUCCAAAGGCUUCUUCUCAUCCUUU